AGUGCUGGCUGGGAGAGCUGCAAGGAGAUGGCAUAUGCUGCCGAUGAAGGUGUUCUCCAGGAAUUUUCAGUUAGAAGUUUUGAUCAUUGUUCAUUUGGCCUCAGGAUGAACAUCAUGAAUAACUGGGAGAUGAAACAGGAAGCUCUAUGACACACUUGAUCGAAUAUGACAGACACCGAAAAUCACGACUCAGCCCCCUCCAGCACCUCUACCUGUUGCCCGCCGAUCACAGCCGGAAUGCAGCUGAAAGAUUCCCUGGGGCCUGGUUCCAACCGCCCACUGUGGACUCUGAGGCCUCUGCAUUUGCGGGUGGUCUGCCUGUGAUAUUUUGGUCAUGGGCUGGUCUGGUCGGUUUCCCAUUUGUCUGGCCAGUCUCUAUGUGUCUUAAUCCCUUGUCCUUCAUUAAAAGCAAAACUAAA
RNAcentral lists this long non-coding RNA (419 nucleotides) under Homo sapiens (human). RNAcentral's name for it is "cytoskeleton regulator RNA". Lineage: Eukaryota; Metazoa; Chordata; Mammalia; Primates; Hominidae. The record is from RNAcentral.